This is a long non-coding RNA of Mastomys coucha (southern multimammate mouse), 260 nucleotides long. RefSeq lists it as uncharacterized. The transcript is spliced from 2 exons. Lineage: Eukaryota; Metazoa; Chordata; Mammalia; Rodentia; Muridae. The record is from RefSeq and is a predicted model, not a curated record.
AAGCCUGUCAUUGAGUUAGCCUAGCCUUCUCACCUGUUUUAUGACAACAAAGUGCUUUCAAAUUUCAAGGGUUUCCAGGACCAUAGUGGACACUCACUCCUUGCUCUUCUGCCUCUAGCUACUGAGGUCAAUCAUAAAACAUGACAUCAGUUUUCAGAUCAGGAUGUAGUUCUCGGCAAUUGCUCCAGUACCUGCCUGCCUGCCACAGUGCUCCCCACCAUGACUACAAUGGAAUAAACCUCUGAAACUAAGCAAACCUA